UAUACUCCGACCAAUAGGCGAGUUUGGUGAAUUCAUUGUUUUGCCAUCCUGAAAAUAAUAGCCAUGAAGGCUUUCAUAUCUGCCACCACUAGAUGUCACUAGAUAUCAAGCUUCUUAGAACAACUGCGUUACAGGCUUGAACAACUGCUCCCCUCAUUCUAUUAAUACAGUAUUUUAAAACUGUAUCUGUACUGUAUACAUUUUCCACAUUGAAUCUUGUGCAUUUAAUGUGACAUUCAUUCCUAGGAACCGAGCUUCAUUCUGACCAUAAGGCAGCUUACUUUUUGGAUAGGAAUAACUCCUCUAGCCUCUCCUUUAUAUGAAUUGUUGUCAUCCUUUCUUUACGACUCCAAGAGAAACUUUAUACUGGAGGAAGAAUAUUCUACCACUUUGGGAUGCUUCCAAAGAAAUGGGACACCAAAGGAGUGAACUUCAGGUCAUUGGAAGUGGCCAAGCUGGAGGGCGACCUAUGGAGACAUGCAGGAACACCUCCCAGUCUGGAGAUGCUGCCCCAUGGCCCAUAUUUGGAGCUGAUGUGCUGAAGGAUAGAGAGGAAGAGAAAGCUGUAGUUCCUCACCAGAGCCAAGCAGCCCCUCUGAGAGGGUGA
Molecule: long non-coding RNA, 607 nt
Filed under: Pan paniscus (pygmy chimpanzee)
Lineage: Eukaryota; Metazoa; Chordata; Mammalia; Primates; Hominidae
Description: lncRNA (ENSPPAG00000044452.1)
Source: RNAcentral